GGCUCAGAACGAACGCUGGCGGCGUGGCUAAGACAUGCAAGUCGAACGAAUUAUCCAAUUGAGUAAUCGAGAGGAUAGUUAGUGGCGAAAGGGUGAGUAAUGGAUAGGUAACGUACCUUGAGCUUCGGGAUAGCGUCAUUCUCCGCAAGGGGAAUUUCCGAAAGGGGCAUUAAUACCGAAUAAUAUGACCUGUCGAUAGACAGGUUCUCAAAGAUUUAUCGGCUCAAGAGCGGCCUAUCUCCUAUCAGCUUGUUGGUGAGGUAACGGCCCACCAAGGCUAUGACGGGUAGCGGGACUGAGAGGUUGACCCGCCACAUCGGGACUGAGACACUGCCCGGACCUCCACGGAGGGCUGCAGUAACGAAUAUUGCGCAAUGGGCGAAAGCCUGACGCAGCGACGCCCGCGUGUGGGAUGAAGUCUCUCGGGAUGUAAACCACUGUCAGGGGGAAGAAAGUCCGUUUCGGCGGAUUGAUCUACCCCAGAGGAAGUCACGGCUAACUUCGUGCCAGCCGCUGC
This 517-nucleotide ribosomal RNA is filed under the name uncultured bacterium. Its description in RNAcentral is "bacterial SSU rRNA". It matches the Rfam family "Bacterial small subunit ribosomal RNA", at positions 21 to 518 of the family's 1533-position model. The record is from RNAcentral.